UUAAAUUGGACGUAUUGCUAUUUUUAUCCUAGUCGAAAUUAUGAAACGAAACGUUUUGACAGUCCGUUUGCCAAUAAGCAGUGAUCAGUUUCUUUUGUUUGUUUUUCUAUUGUUUACCUACUAUAUUAGAUGAUGACUUACCUCCAAAACGCUUUAAAACUUUCGUUUAUAAUUCUAAGUGUGUUUAUAAUUAAAGAGCUACAGUGAAAUAAAAUGAAUUCUUCAAGAAAGGCAGCACCCAUGACAAAAGAGGAGACGAUGAUUCUAGCAGAACUUGUGGCGGUGAAAAAACGCAUCAAUAAUAAGGCAACAAAUGCCACAAACAAUAAAUUGAAGCAGCAGGCUUGGCCAACCCUUGUAAAUGAUUUUAAUUCGUCGAUUCGUCGUUUCCCAUGAACUCCAUCGCAGCUUCGACUAAAAUGGGAAAACUUAAAAAACGCUACGGCAACAUAAGAAACAACCUUAGUAAGGCUGGAGGUGGUAAGGAUUGCAGAUGAAAUUUUGGAUAAAGCAUGCACAUUGUUGUAGGUCACAUAUAUUUUUAACACUUUUACAGCCAAGCGGAAACAAGAUGGAAGAAAAGAAAUGCAAUGUAUUAGCAGAAUAUCUAAUAGCAAAAAAGAGGCUUGAUUUGGAAAAUGAAGAAAAGGAGAUUGUUGUAGCAAAACUUAAGUUAGAUUUAGAUAAUGCUAGAUUAAAAAAUUAAAAAUUACUUAAAAGGAUUUCAUAAAUUAAGUAGGCAAUAAUAAUUUUUUGUUAGAUAGUUUUUUAAGUAUAUGUACAAAUUCUAAAUUAAAUAUCUUGCAUGUACUAACCACUAUGUAAUUAUCAUUUUGGAAAAUAAAAAAUAGUCAAAUUAU
This is a long non-coding RNA of Bombyx mori (domestic silkworm), 860 nucleotides long. RefSeq lists it as uncharacterized. NCBI's taxonomy places the organism in Eukaryota, Metazoa, Arthropoda, Insecta, Lepidoptera, Bombycidae. The record is from RefSeq and is a predicted model, not a curated record. The transcript has 3 exons.